Papaver somniferum (opium poppy) is the source of this 2514-nucleotide long non-coding RNA. RefSeq lists it as uncharacterized. The transcript is spliced from 5 exons. Lineage: Eukaryota; Viridiplantae; Streptophyta; Magnoliopsida; Ranunculales; Papaveraceae. The record is from RefSeq and is a predicted model, not a curated record.
CUAAGCGUGCUUUUCUGCACUCUCUCUCCACAUUCUUUUCAAUUUCAGAACAUGGUUUCCCUCUUUCUUUUCGAUUUUGGCAUGAAAAUUUCCCUCCCAAAAUAUUCUCCACUAAGAUCGUGGGAUGUUUAUCACGAUCUCAAUUACAAUUUCUCUUCUGAUAAACCUAUAUAUUCAGUUUCCACAGCAAAGUUAGCCCUAGGUUUAGGAAAAACGAAUCAGAGAAAUUGGUGAAAGCAACCCCUUUGGCAACAUCUUCUGGGAGCUGCGAACUAAGGAAUAUGAACUUCGAAAUAGUUGCUAUCGCAACCAUAUUCACUGAUGACACAAAGGGUAUUUGCCAUGGUUAUAAGUUAGAUUUAGAUCGCGAAACAAAAGUUAUUCUAAUCAAGAUUGUGAUGCCUAAUACACCAAUUUACAAGUCUGGAAAACAAGAUGGUGCUAAUAUAUUCGAGGAUGUGAUGGAAGGUGGAUACCUGGUGUGGCCAAAAUCGUUGAUUACAUACUGAUGUCGAUGUCAAGUGCUUCACUAAAGUUUAUGAAUUCUAAGUGGUUAAUUUCUUAGUUAUGUAGUUACCAUUAGGUUUUUCAGACUAAAAUGCACUUGAACCUUGUUUAAGCGUGUUAACAUUGACUUUCUUUAAGUUUGGUUAUUUAUGUUUCAUAGUUUUAUUUAUAAGACUUCUGUUGUUUAAGUAUAUAUGUUUUUCUAUAAUUAUUAUCUAUAUAAUUUGUUAUCUGUUAGUGGAAACACUUUUUAACUCCGUCAAUGCAAAUGCUUAUAUCAUUUCAUUGCCGGUCCCAAGCCCGGAUAAAGGAGGAGGAGGGAGGAGAUUAGUCAGGAAGGAUUCAAGUAAUUGUGGUUGAUGUUGGACCAUCCUCAAUAUCGUCACACGUAUAAGAGGUAAAGUUGGUUGGUUGCAAGUUUUCUUAAAUUUAUUUGUGUUGGUUCAAUUUAUUAGUUUUAGGGAGCCGUGUUUGUUCAAAGUACACGAGUAGGAAGAACUGUCUGUAGCAACCUAAGGCUAUUGGGGUGUCAAUCUUGUCCAGGUGUAACAAAUGCAUUAGGUAAUUCUUUAUUUCGAUUUUAAUUUGGAACUUUAUGAUUCCAGUGAUGUUUUUUUACAUUGUAGUUUCCUGGUGUAAAAUGCCUCAUUUCAAGUAAUAAUUCUCCUCUUGUGAAUAAUUUCAAAAUUAGUUGGUUCAAUAAAUCGAAAUUGCUUAACACUGUGCAUUUUGCAGAUGAUCCUUCAACAAAUGGAACUUGAGAUACAUUAUCUUUCAUUACAAAACAUCAACCUUAGAGUCCAAAGGCGACCUAUAAUCACUGCUCAAGAAAUCAGGUGAUUUUGAUAUUCCCUUAUGUUCUCAAGUUUGAAUACGGCUAUAGUCUGUACCAAUACUAUCUAUUCUAGGGUUUCUUCUGCAAAUACAAUAAUCUAGUUUAUGUGAAGAUGGAAAAACUAGAGAUCAUGAUUAAGCUUACUUCUGCUCUGCAUGUAGACCAGGUAAUGAAAUUUUUUAAAUAACGUAGUUUCUAUUUGAAGAAUUCGUUGUGCUGCUAUGGGUUUUUGAUACCUCUCGGCGUGUAUUCUCUUUUGAAGCUCUGUUGGAAUUCAAGGAAUAUGCCGCGAAAGUUGGCGUCGAUUUUGUCAGAAAAACUAUAUGUGAUACUAGUCAAUGUGUCAUCAAGUUAGAAAGAGCAGUUGAACGCUGUAUAAGUGUUUGCUUGAGAUCAUAACUAUGUCGUUCAUGAGGCUAUCAUUGUCAUCAAGGGUAUCUUUAGGCGAUAAUCUAACACCUAUGAAUCCGUUAUUUCAGCACUUCGUGAGACCGAAGAUAUGUUAGAUGAAAGCAAAGGUACCCACAUUCCUGAAGUUAACAUUAAAUGUCCAGAGUUAGGAGGCUAUCAUUGUCAUCAAGGGUAUCUUUAGGCGAUAAUCUAACACCUAUGAAUCCGUCAUUUCAGCACUUCGUGAGACCGAAGAUAUGUUAGAUGAAAGCAAAGGUUUCUUGGAGAAUUUUCUAGAAGAUCUUGCUCCGAGCAUUUUCAACUUCUCUGUUGCAGGUGGUCUUGAAUAAUGCUAAUGUGGAGACAGACACUCCAGAUCUACGUGAUUGAGCCUAUAAUUAUUGGGGUCUUCUAUCAACAGAACCUGAGGUACAAUCCUAGGGUCUUUUUACCCGUAGAAGAAACGAUCUUCAGACUAUAAAGCUGGUGGAUAAAGAGUAUUGGCAGGCUUCAGAAAACUAAGCGGACAAAACUUACAUGUUAGGGAGGAUGUACAAGUUGAAGCUACUCGCAAAUACCAUUAAAAAAUAUGGCGACUGAAGGAUACAUUGACAUAAUCCUAAUGAAUUUAGUUGUCUUCUUAUUUUUGUAAAGAACAAAACUAAUCUUUCUUUUUUUAAAAAAGCGCACAAGUGACGGAACAUUUUUGUUUUAUUUAAACGUGACUUACAAGAAAUAAAGUACAUUUUUGUUCCUUAUCUUGUAAUUGAUGUUUGAGAACU